GGAUAUGAGGGCAAUCUGGCUGCGACAUCUGUCAUCCCAUUGAUCUCCAGGGUUGAUUCAGCUGAUCUGGCUGGCUAGGCAGGUGUCCCCUUUCUCCUUCACCGCUCCAUCUGCGUCCUUCCUGAAGCUGCGCGCUCCAUCGAAGAGGACGACCCUCCCUGAUAGAGGAGGACUGGGCUUUGGUCAAGGGUGUAUGAAUCGCUGUGCUCCCCUGCUAGAACCUCCAGACGGGCACUAAAAUCACUGGGGCUCUAUAUUCAAACACCAACUGCCCUGGUCCUGGGCCAGUUGUCUUCUAAGCCAUUCCAGGCCUGCCCUUUGCU
Unclassified non-coding RNA from Rhinopithecus roxellana (golden snub-nosed monkey), 323 nucleotides. Its record names the gene 7SK. It matches the Rfam family "7SK RNA". Rfam says of the family: 7SK was discovered as an abundant small nuclear RNA in the mid-70s but a possible function has only recently been suggested. The record is from Ensembl. Lineage: Eukaryota; Metazoa; Chordata; Mammalia; Primates; Cercopithecidae.